UACGUAGGGCGCAAGCGUUAUCCGGAAUUAUUGGGCGUAAAGAGCUCGUAGGCGGUUUGUCGCGUCUGCCGUGAAAGUCCGGGGCUCAACUCCGGAUCUGCGGUGUGUACGGGCAGACUAGAGUGAUGUAGGGGAGACUGGAAUUCCUGGUGUAGCGGUGAAAUGCGCAGAUAUCAGGAGGAACACCGAUGGCGAAGGCAGGUCUCUGGGCAUUAACUGACGCUGAGGAGCGAAAGCAUGGGGAGCGAACAGG
RNAcentral lists this ribosomal RNA (253 nucleotides) under uncultured bacterium. Its description in RNAcentral is "partial 16S ribosomal RNA". It matches the Rfam family "Bacterial small subunit ribosomal RNA", at positions 524 to 776 of the family's 1533-position model. The record is from RNAcentral.